CAACUUAGACAAUGAUUGGCAAUAAAUAGAGAAAAUGAAAAAUCAAAUGUUGGAACAUUUUUAACAUCACUUAUUUCCCCAUAUCAUUGAGAAAAUGAAACAAAAAACAAAGAAAAAGGCCCUUAGAGUUAUUAGCACUAUUUUUUAUUGAUGAUGUUGUUGCCUGUACAAUAUAAAUCCAAGAUUUUUACUGUUGCUCUACUGCUCUCUCCCACUGAAAUUGCAAAGGUAUUUCAGAGAAAAUGAACAAAUAAAAGAAGAGAGAAAGAAGGGAGGGAACAGAGAGUACAUCACAUACUGGACGCUGAGGGGGGCAAGCUCCUGGGCAGCAGGGAGCAGAAGGGGCGGCUGCUCGCUGCACCUCAUACCGGAGCC
RNAcentral lists this long non-coding RNA (375 nucleotides) under Brachypodium distachyon (stiff brome). Its description in RNAcentral is "long non-coding RNA (BDIS_LNC001308)". The record is from RNAcentral. Lineage: Eukaryota; Viridiplantae; Streptophyta; Magnoliopsida; Poales; Poaceae.